This 497-nucleotide ribosomal RNA is filed under the name uncultured bacterium. RNAcentral's name for it is "partial 16S ribosomal RNA". It matches the Rfam family "Bacterial small subunit ribosomal RNA", at positions 28 to 507 of the family's 1533-position model. The record is from RNAcentral.
GACGAACGCUGGCGGCGUGCUUAACACAUGCAAGUCGAACGGAAAGGCCCUGCUCUUGUUUGGCGCACGAGUGGCGAACGGGUGAGUGACACGUGAGUAUCACGUCCUUGUCAUUGGGGUAUAAUUUGGGGAAAGCGGAUAAAACAGCAGAUAAGCUCCUGAUGCACAGGGUGGGAAAGUGAGUUACGGCGUUGGUGUCAGGUAUCGCGGGAUCCGGGCUGCUUUAGCUAGUUGUGAAGGUCACAGCUUACCAAGGCAACGAUGCAUAGCCGACCUGAGAGGGUGAUCGGCCACACUGGAACUGAGACACGGUCCAGACUCCUACGGGAGGCAGCAGUAGGGAAUCUUCCGCAAUGGGCGAAAGCCUGACGGAGCAACGCCGCGUGAGUGAUGAAGGUCUUCGGAUCGCAAAACUCUGUUAUUAGGGAAGAACAUAUGUGUAAGUAACUGUGCACAUCUUGACGGUACCUAAUCAGAAAGCCACGGCUAACUACGUG